This 73-nucleotide transfer RNA is filed under the name Marmota monax (woodchuck). RNAcentral's name for it is "tRNA.Ala". It matches the Rfam family "tRNA". From Rfam's summary of the family: Transfer RNA (tRNA) molecules are approximately 80 nucleotides in length. The record is from RNAcentral. Lineage: Eukaryota; Metazoa; Chordata; Mammalia; Rodentia; Sciuridae.
GUGGGGUUGUGGCUCAGGGGAAGAGCGCUCGCCUAGCACACGUGAGGCUCUGGGUUCGAUCCUCAGCACCACA